AUAUCCUUUCAAGUUUUAAACUAUCAUAUCAGACUUGUCGCUGAAGCAACUAUGCUCAUUUUUCAGAUGAGUAAAUGUUCAACACAUUACUAAAAAUUGUCUUAGUAGAGUAGAUCUCCAUUAUAGGGAAGAACUUGUACAUUAGCGGGUUCUGAUUUGGACGAAUUCUGGCAAAUAAUGGGGAAGUCAUUGAACUGGUUAAUAAGCUCCUACCUGGAGCUAGUACAUUUAUUGUGCCAUUCAUACAUACAAGCCAGCAUCAAACACAUUAUUGUCUAGUUGUUACUGUUACUACGAAGUUUUUGAGAAAAUAGAUGGCUUGCUAAUUCUAUAUGCUAUUUUUGUUUACAGAGAAUUAGACUGGGCCUUUUUGCUUUUAAAUAAAGACUUUAGUAUUUUAUGUAUGAAUUGGAACCAACUAAGAUGCUUAUUCUUGGACUAGGGAAUACGUGACACACUGUAACCUGUGAAUACUUCACUACCUUAGGAAACAGACAAACCUUAGAAGUUCAACCGAAGGCUAGGGGGAAUUGACAUAAGGCAAGAACUUAUUAAGUUUUAUGAAGAAAAUUACUCUGCCAACCUCAUGCGUUUGGUUGUAUACGGCAAAGGAUCUCUUGAUAAAAUCCAUGAUCUAGUAGUCCAAAAGUUCAACGCUAUUUCCAACAACAAGCGGAGCUUUUUGCAUAUUUCUGGUCAUCCCUGUUUAUGGGAACAAUUACUGGUCCAUUUCUGCAGUCCGCUCCCAUUUUUUGUUGGAAGACAUUUACAUUCCUCAUUUCCUGUUUGGUAAAAAUUUCUAUCCAGAAGAAAGUUAAAGAAGCUCCUACUUGUUGUCCAGGUUCUUGUUAUAGCCAUUCCAAUAUGUGACGACCACACGCUACAAGUUCAGUGGCCAGUGCCUCACAGCAUUCACCAUUACAAAGAAGUCCCAUGCAGCUACCUCCCCCAUCUUAUAGGCCAUGAGGGAGAAGGAUCUCUGUUUCAUGCCUUAAAAAGAUUAGGUCUGUUUCUCAUGUCAUUUACAUUGCUUAUCUUAUACCAAUCCUCAGGAGGAUUCAUCUUAAUGGUAAUGUUUCUUUCUGCUAGGAUAACCUUCUUGAUUGAGUUAUUUUCUGGUAAUUGCAACUUAAAUAUAUGCAUCUCAUUUCCAUGUAGGAGAUUUUUUUUUUUUUUUUCCCAUGUAUAUGCAGCUCCUCUAUAUUAUGGUUUCUUGCUCCCAGGAUGCUUGAAAUGUCAACUGAAGCAGAAUAGAGUCGUGCUCUAUGCUUUUUCAGUGGGAAGGAAAAGGGUCAUGCUCCAUGCAUCUCUUUUUUCUGCCAGUAUGAGGAGCAUAAGAGUUCAAUUGACCAAAAGAUAUUCUUCAUUUUACCCUCCAUAGAGCAUACGGUGUAUAAACUUUACAAUCUAUUUGAGCGAAUAUUGUUUUUUACUUAUACUUUUUCUUUUUCUUGUC
This is an RNA transcript of Eucalyptus grandis, 1456 nucleotides long. RefSeq lists it as uncharacterized. Lineage: Eukaryota; Viridiplantae; Streptophyta; Magnoliopsida; Myrtales; Myrtaceae. The record is from RefSeq and is a predicted model, not a curated record. The transcript is spliced from 2 exons.